Molecule: ribosomal RNA, 472 nt
Filed under: uncultured bacterium
Lineage: Bacteria
Description: bacterial SSU rRNA
Rfam family: Bacterial small subunit ribosomal RNA
Source: RNAcentral
UGACAGUACUCCUACGGGGAGGCAGCAGUGGGGAAUUUUGGACAAUGGGCGAAAGCCUGAUCCAGCCAUGCCGCGUGCAGGAUGAAGGCUCGGGUUGUAAACUGCUUUGUACGGACGAAAGACUCUGGUUAAUACCUGGGGUCCAUGACGGUACCGUAAGAAUAAGCACCGGCUAACUACGUGCCAGCAGCCGCGGUAAUACGUAGGGUGCAAGCGUUAAUCGGAAUUACUGGGCGUAAAGCGUGCGCAGGCGGUUAUAUAAGACAGAUGUGAAAUACCCCGGGGCUCAACCUGGGAACUGCAUUUGUGACUGUAUAGCUAGAGUACGGCAGAGGGGGAGUGGAAUUCCGCGUGUAGCAGUGAAAUGCGUAGAUAUGCGGAGGAACACCGAUGGCGAAGGCAAUCCCCUGGGCCUGUACUGACGCUCAUGCACGAAAGCGUGGGGAGCAAACAGGAUUAGAUACCCUGGUAG